RNAcentral lists this ribosomal RNA (305 nucleotides) under uncultured bacterium. RNAcentral describes it as "bacterial SSU rRNA". It matches the Rfam family "Bacterial small subunit ribosomal RNA", at positions 332 to 655 of the family's 1533-position model. The record is from RNAcentral.
GAGACCCUACGGGAGGCAGCAGUAGGGAAUAUUGCUCAAUGGGGGAAACCCUGAAGCAGCAACGCCGCGUGGAGGAUGAAGGUUUUAGGAUUGUAAACUCCUUUUGUUAGAGAAGAUUAUGACGGUAUCUAACGAAUAAGCACCGGCUAACUCCGUGCCAGCAGCCGCGGUAAUACGGAGGGUGCAAGCGUUACUCGGAAUCACUGGGCGUAAAGAGUGCGUAGGCGGGGUAAUAAGUCAGAUGUGAACUCCUGUAGCUUAACUACAGAACUGCAUUUGAAACUGUUACUCUGUAGUGUGGGUGG